Molecule: ribosomal RNA, 254 nt
Filed under: uncultured bacterium
Lineage: Bacteria
Description: partial 16S ribosomal RNA
Rfam family: Bacterial small subunit ribosomal RNA
Source: RNAcentral
UACAGAGGGGGCAAGCGUUGUUCGGAAUUACUGGGCGUAAAGGGCGCGUAGGCGGCCUUCUAAGUCGAACGUGAAAUCCCUGGGCUCAACCCAGGAACUGCGUCCGAUACUGGGAGGCUUGAAUCCGGGAGAGGGAUGCGGAAUUCCAGGUGUAGCGGUGAAAUGCGUAGAUAUCUGGAGGAACACCGGUGGCGAAGGCGGCAUCCUGGACCAAUUCUGACGCUGAGUGAGCGAAAGCCAGGGGAGCAAACGGG